RNAcentral lists this ribosomal RNA (879 nucleotides) under uncultured bacterium. Its description in RNAcentral is "bacterial SSU rRNA". It matches the Rfam family "Bacterial small subunit ribosomal RNA", at positions 1 to 895 of the family's 1533-position model. The record is from RNAcentral.
CAGAAUUCGCCCUUAGAGUUUGAUCCUGGCUCAGGAUGAACGCUGGCGGCGCGCCUAACACAUGCAAGUCGAACGGCACCUGCCCUCGGGCAGAAGCGAGUGGCGAACGGCUGAGUAACACGUGGAGAACCUGCCCCCUCCCCCGGGAUAGCCGCCCGAAAGGACGGGUAAUACCGGAUACCCCGGGAUGCCGCAUGGCACCCCGGCUAAAGCCCCGACGGGAGGGGAUGGCUCCGCGGCCCAUCAGGUAGACGGCGGGGUGACGGCCCACCGUGCCGACAACGGGUAGCCGGGUUGAGAGACCGACCGGCCAGAUUGGGACUGAGACACGGCCCAGACUCCUACGGGAGGCAGCAGUGGGGAAUCUUGCGCAAUGGGGGGAACCCUGACGCAGCGACGCCGCGUGCGGGACGGAGGCCUUCGGGUCGUAAACCGCUUUCAGCAGGGAAGAGUCAAGACUGUACCUGCAGAAGAAGCCCCGGCUAACUACGUGCCAGCAGCCGCGGUAAUACGUAGGGGGCGAGCGUUAUCCGGAUUCAUUGGGCGUAAAGCGCGCGUAGGCGGCCCGGCAGGCCGGGGGUCGAAGCGGGGGGCUCAACCCCCCGAAGCCCCCGGAACCUCCGCGGCUUGGGUCCGGUAGGGGAGGGUGGAACACCCGGUGUAGCGGUGGAAUGCGCAGAUAUCGGGUGGAACACCGGUGGCGAAGGCGGCCCUCUGGGCCGAGACCGACGCUGAGGCGCGAAAGCUGGGGGAGCGAACAGGAUUAGAUACCCUGGUAGUCCCAGCCGUAAACGAUGAACGCUAGGUGUGGGGGGACGAUCCCCCCGUGCCGCAGCCAACGCAUUAAGCGUCCCGCCUGGGGAGUACGGCCGCAAGGCU